CAAGUGCGAGACGGAUAACAGGGGUAGCUUGCUACCCGCUGACGAGCGGCGGACGGGUGAGUAAUGCAUAGGAAUCUGCCCGGUAGUGGGGGAUAACCUGGGGAAACCCAGGCUAAUACCGCAUACGUCCUACGGGAGAAAGGGGGCUUCGGCUCCCGCUAUUGGAUGAGCCUAUGUCGGAUUAGCUAGUUGGUGAGGUAAUGGCUCACCAAGGCAACGAUCCGUAGCUGGUCUGAGAGGAUGAUCAGCCACAUCGGGACUGAGACACGGCCCGAACUCCUACGGGAGGCAGCAGUGGGGAAUAUUGGACAAUGGGGGCAACCCUGAUCCAGCCAUGCCGCGUGUGUGAAGAAGGCCCUCGGGUUGUAAAGCACUUUCAGCGAGGAAGAACGCCUAGUGGUUAAUACCCAUUAGGAAAGACAUCACUCGCAGAAGAAGCACCGGCUAACUCCGUGCCAGCAGCCGCGGUAAUACGGAGGGUGCAAGCGUUAAUCGGAAUUACUGGGCGUAAAGCGCGCGUAGGUGGCUUGAUAAGCCGGUUGUGAAAGCCCCGGGCUCAACCUGGGAACGGCAUCCGGAACUGUCAGGCUAGAGUGCAGGAGAGGAAGGUAGAAUUCCCGGUGUAGCGGUGAAAUGCGUAGAGAUCGGGAGGAAUACCAGUGGCGAAGGCGGCCUUCUGGACUGACACUGACACUGAGGUGCGAAAGCGUGGGUAGCAACAGAUAGAUCCCUGGUAGU
This 738-nucleotide ribosomal RNA is filed under the name Halomonas sp. MH128. RNAcentral's name for it is "bacterial SSU rRNA". It matches the Rfam family "Bacterial small subunit ribosomal RNA", at positions 52 to 794 of the family's 1533-position model. Lineage: Bacteria; Pseudomonadati; Pseudomonadota; Gammaproteobacteria; Oceanospirillales; Halomonadaceae. The record is from RNAcentral.